This 419-nucleotide unclassified non-coding RNA is filed under the name Hevea brasiliensis (rubber tree). Lineage: Eukaryota; Viridiplantae; Streptophyta; Magnoliopsida; Malpighiales; Euphorbiaceae. The record is from RNAcentral.
GUUUGGUCGUUUUUUGUGCCAUCAUCAUCAGCAAGUACAUGAGGAAGAAUCAGAUGAGCUUCAUUCCAAUCACUUGCAAAGAAGCGAACUUCCGGGCUGCUAUUGUCGUCUGUGGCCGACAAGUUCUGUUGAAUAUUGGCAUUGACAUUUGGAAUUGUUAGGCAUUGCAGCACCUCAGCAUUGAAGUCCUGAAAGUGUACAGCACGAGCACCCUUUAGGCAUGCAAAGAUCCCAGGAAGACCAUGACCACAACCAAGCUCUAAAACUCUUUUUCCAGUCAAUGAUAAUUUGCCGCUUUGCAUCUCAGAGCUUAGAGUCUUCACUAAAUCUAAUGAACCUUCCCACAAUUUCAGCCCCCCUUCAUAUUUUCCGGGGAUUAAAUCUGAAUUAGACAACCCAAAUACCUCCUUUGUACUGAC